This 1661-nucleotide long non-coding RNA is filed under the name Olea europaea subsp. europaea. Lineage: Eukaryota; Viridiplantae; Streptophyta; Magnoliopsida; Lamiales; Oleaceae. The record is from RNAcentral.
AUAAUGCAUGUGAACUUUAUUGGACUUGACCCACAUUCUUCAAAUGUUUUUACAUAUUUUGACAACUUAAAAAUAAGUAUCUAAUGAUUUUAGAAUAAUAAUUUAUUUUAUGCUAUGAAUUACUGUUAUAGUAACUUAAUUAUCUUCAACUUGAAUAGUAAAAGAAUUUUACAUUUUUGUGUAGGUAAAUUGUUCAAGUACAGUCAACUCCAAGAGUCAAGUAGAUGCCAACGUCAAAUUUUGGUUGAUCGAAUGUUUACAUAACGGUCCAGUCCUCAUAUUUGAAAAACGACCUUAGCAUAGUCCAAACUAUAUUUUUAGACGGGUUGGUUCGUAUCUCCAGAUUUUACAACUACCCUUCUUCAUAAAGAUCAGUCGAACACUGCUUCAGACUAAUAAAUCAGGAAAGUACGAAUGUUCUUCCACUAGGUCAACUUGUGAAAAGCUCAAAGCUUUAGUAGAACUAAGUCGAGCAAGUAGAGAAUCUACUGGCGUCCAUUUGCCCAAUGACUGUUUUAGUUGGCAGGCCUUGUUUGCAGAUUUUUACGAGCGAGAUUUUGCGUCGAGAGAUCAUGCAACCUCACAACAUGUAUCAUCCGCUGUUUCUUGGCUUCUAAGAAGUUAAAGGUAGUGCUAUAAGAUGAAAAUCACGAUUUUCAAAUUACUUUUUGAUAACUAAUAUUUGUAUUUGUUUGAUAUAGAACUAAAUACAAUUUGAAGUUAAAACAGUGACAAACUAACCAUUCUGGGCUUCUUGAUAUCGUUCUUGGAGUUUCCUCUUUGCCGCCUCUAAUUUUGCCGGAACUGAAGCCUCAUCAUUACCCCUUGGUUUCUGGUAGAACCAAAUUUAGAAAAGUUGCUUUAAGAAUGCUACUUCAUCAUGGAGAAGAAAGCUCUCCCUUUUCUUCAACAACAAAAGUUUUCACGGACUCCGUUGCAACCUCUGCAGUUUUAAGAUGAAGUACGACGUAAAUCUUCGAUGGAGUAUUAAAUAAAAUAUUAGACAGAUUGUUGCCGAAAACGUAUUGCAUACAUUUUAUUUUAACUUACUAAAUUUAUUAUUUGUAAACUGUCUCUUACGCUUGUGAAUUUUGUCCAAACAUAACUAAUCAAUCAUUUCGGAUGACUCGUACUUUGGGUACAUGGUGAGGAACUGGAGAAGGCCUCCUACAGCUACAGAAUUAAGCCUGAAUGAAAUGUGCGCUCUGAAGCAAGAGUAGUCGCUCUCAAGAGUUCUCUCUGCACAUUUAAUCGACCAAUGGGGUCGCCCAAGUCCUCGUCUUCGUUGUCCAUGAUUUCGUAAGCCCGUGUCUUGGGACUUAACAAGGGCCCCAUCUUUAGACGCCUCCUCAAGAGCCUCUGUAAGCUUGUACUCUUACAAUUUUCAUAGAAUUGAUGGGUUCCACCAAAUGAAAGAUGCUAAUCCAUCAAUCCCUUUAGAAAUCUCUUUGGAUUAGUUCUAUUUUGAGUUUUGAAGUUGAGGUGGUUUAUGAGUAAGAUUGUGUUUUAGGAGGUGGAGAAAGUAGCGACAAAUGAUGACUAGCAAUUUGUGGUGAGUGGGAUGGGUUUUACUGGUUUGAUUUUGCUAUUUGUAUAUAAAAAAUAUACAUUAUGAACUACAUAAUAUGAUGCGGAGGGAAAAGAUUGGACAAAAAAAUUGA